RNAcentral lists this ribosomal RNA (425 nucleotides) under uncultured bacterium. RNAcentral's name for it is "partial 16S ribosomal RNA". It matches the Rfam family "Bacterial small subunit ribosomal RNA", at positions 354 to 796 of the family's 1533-position model. The record is from RNAcentral.
GUGGGGAAUCUUAGACAAUGGGCGCAAGCCUGAUCUAGCCAUGCCGCGUGAGCGAUGAAGGCCUUAGGGUUGUAAAGCUCUUUCGUGGGGGAAGAUAAUGACUGUACCCCAAGAAGAAGCCCCGGCUAACUCCGUGCCAGCAGCCGCGGUAAUACGGAGGGGGCUAGCGUUGUUCGGAAUUACUGGGCGUAAAGCGCACGUAGGCGGACUGGAAAGUCAGGGGUGAAAUCCCGGGGCUCAACCCCGGAACUGCCUUUGAAACUCCCAGUCUUGAGUUCGAGAGAGGUGAGUGGAAUUCCGAGUGUAGAGGUGAAAUUCGUAGAUAUUCGGAGGAACACCAGUGGCGAAGGCGGCUUACUGGGCCGUAACUGACGCUGAGGCGCGAAAGCGUGGGGAGCGAACAGGAUUAGAAACCCCGGUAGUCC